UGGGGAAUUUUGCACAAUGGGGGAAACCCUGAUGCAGCGACGCCGCGUGAUUUAGAAGGCCUUCGGGUUGUAAAAAUCUUUUGUAUGGGAAGAAAAUGACAGUACCAUACGAAUAAGGACCGGCUAAUUACGUGCCAGCAGCCGCGGUAAUACGUAAGGUCCGAGCGUUGUCCGGAAUCAUUGGGCGUAAAGGGUACGUAGGCGGAUAAGCAAGUUAGAAGUGAAAUCCUAUAGCUCAACUAUAGUAAGCUUUUAAAACUGCUCAUCUUGAGGUAUGGAAGGGAAAGUGGAAUUCCUAGUGUAGCGGUGAAAUGCGCAGAUAUUAGGAGGAAUACCGGUGGCGAAGGCGACUUUCUGGCCAUAAACUGACGCUGAGGUACGAAAGCGUGGGUAGCAAACAGGAUUAGAUACCCUGGUAGUCCACGCCGUAAACGAUGAGUGUUAGGUGUCUGGAAUAAUCUGGGUGCCGCAGCUAACGCAAUAAACACUCCGCCUGGGGAGUACGCACGCAAGUGUGAAACUCAAAGGAAUUGACGGGGACCCGCACAAGCAGCGGAGCAUGUGGUUUAAUUCGACGCAACGCGAAGAACCUUACCAAGUCUUGACAUAUUACGGAGGGAAUUAGAGAUAGUUCCUUACUUCUUCGGAAGACUGUAAUACAGGUGGUGCAUGGUUGUCGUCAGCUCGUGUCGUGAGAUGUUGGGUUAAGUCCCAUAACGAGCGCAACCCCUAUAUUUAGUUACCAUCAUUAAGUUGGGGACUCUAGAUAUACUGCCGGUGAUAAACCGGAGGAAGGUGGGGAUGACGUCAAAUCAUCAUGCCCUUUAUGACUUGGGCUACACACGUGCUACAAUGGCAGGUACACAGGGAAGCGAGACUGCGAAGUUAAGCAAAACUCAAAAAGCCUGUCCCAGUUCGGAUUGCACUCUGCAACUCGAGUGCAUGAAGUUGGAGUUGCUAGUAAUCGUGGAUCAGAAUGCCGCGGUGAAUGCGUUCCCGGGUCU
RNAcentral lists this ribosomal RNA (1004 nucleotides) under uncultured Anaerococcus sp. RNAcentral's name for it is "bacterial SSU rRNA". It matches the Rfam family "Bacterial small subunit ribosomal RNA", at positions 355 to 1381 of the family's 1533-position model. The record is from RNAcentral. Lineage: Bacteria; Bacillati; Bacillota; Tissierellia; Tissierellales; Peptoniphilaceae.